Molecule: non-coding RNA, 200 nt
Organism: Leptosomus discolor (cuckoo roller)
Lineage: Eukaryota; Metazoa; Chordata; Aves; Leptosomiformes; Leptosomidae
Source: Rfam
CUAGGAGAACCGAAAACAGUUCUAGACUGACCUGCGGUUUUAUAGCACUUUGGCAGUCAACUUCAGCUUGUGUCAGAGCAGACAUGACAGAGCUGCCCAGCGCUUAAUCGCGAGACGCUACCUUCUCGGACUCACUACAGCCCCCCUCUUGCAUUUCAAUAAAUUUCAAACCUUGGGGCUAGAAAUGGGGAGCAGAGCUG